This 250-nucleotide ribosomal RNA is filed under the name uncultured bacterium. RNAcentral describes it as "partial 16S ribosomal RNA". It matches the Rfam family "Bacterial small subunit ribosomal RNA", at positions 524 to 773 of the family's 1533-position model. The record is from RNAcentral.
UACGAAGGGGGCUAGCGUUGUUCGGAUUUACUGGGCGUAAAGCGCGUGUAGGCGGGCCGGAAAGUUGGGGGUGAAAUCCCGAGGCUCAACCUCGGAACUGCCUCCAAAACUUCCAGCCUGGACUCAAGCAGAGGCAAGUGGAAUUGCGAGUGUAGAGGUGAAAUUCGUAGAUAUUCGCAGGAACACCAGUGGCGAAGGCGACUUGCUGGGCUUGUAGUGACGCUGAGACGCGAAAGCGUGGGGAGCAAAC